CCCAGACUCAUACGGGAGGCAGCAGUGGGGAAUAUUGCACAAUGGGGGGAACCCUGAUGCAGCGACGCCGCGUGGGUGAAGGAGUACUUCGGUACGUAAAGCCCUAUCAGCAGGAAAGAAAAUGACGGUACCUGACUAAGAAGCCCCGGCUAACUACGUGCCAGCAGCCGCGGUAAUACGUAGGGGGCAAGCGUUAUCCGGAUUUACUGGGUGUAAAGGGAGCGUAGACGGCAGUGCAAGUCCGGAGUGAAAGCCCGGGGCUCAACCCUGGGACUGCUCUGGAAACUGUAAAGCUGGAGUGCGGGAGGGGCAGGCGGAAUUCCUGGUGUAGCGGUGAAAUGCGUAGAUAUCAGGAGGAACACCGGCGGCGAAGGCGGCCUGCUGGACCGUAACUGACGUUGAGGCCCGAAAGCGUGGGGAGCAAACAGGAUUAGAUACCCCAGUACC
Molecule: ribosomal RNA, 447 nt
Filed under: uncultured bacterium
Lineage: Bacteria
Description: partial 16S ribosomal RNA
Rfam family: Bacterial small subunit ribosomal RNA
Source: RNAcentral